This 625-nucleotide ribosomal RNA is filed under the name uncultured Lachnospiraceae bacterium. RNAcentral's name for it is "bacterial SSU rRNA". It matches the Rfam family "Bacterial small subunit ribosomal RNA", at positions 76 to 710 of the family's 1533-position model. Lineage: Bacteria; Bacillati; Bacillota; Clostridia; Lachnospirales; Lachnospiraceae. The record is from RNAcentral.
UUCUUCGGAUUGAAGUUUUUGUGACUGAGUGGCGGACGGGUGAGUAACGCGUGGGUAACCUGCCUCAUACAGGGGGAUAACAGUUAGAAAUGACUGCUAAUACCGCAUAAGCGCACAGUGCUGCAUGGCACAGUGUGAAAAACUCCGGUGGUAUGAGAUGGACCCGCGUCUGAUUAGCUAGUUGGUGGGGUAACGGCCUACCAAGGCGACGAUCAGUAGCCGGCCUGAGAGGGUGAACGGCCACAUUGGGACUGAGACACGGCCCAAACUCCUACGGGAGGCAGCAGUGGGGAAUAUUGCACAAUGGGGGAAACCCUGAUGCAGCGACGCCGCGUGAGCGAAGAAGUAUUUCGGUAUGUAAAGCUCUAUCAGCAGGGAAGAAAAUGACGGUACCUGACUAAGAAGCACCGGCUAAAUACGUGCCAGCAGCCGCGGUAAUACGUAUGGUGCAAGCGUUAUCCGGAUUUACUGGGUGUAAAGGGAGCGUAGACGGUUGUGUAAGUCUGAUGUGAAAGCCCGGGGCUCAACCCCGGGACUGCAUUGGAAACUAUGUAACUAGAGUGUCGGAGAGGUAAGCGGAAUUCCUAGUGUAGCGGUGAAAUGCGUAGAUAUUAGGAGGAACACC